RNAcentral lists this ribosomal RNA (466 nucleotides) under uncultured bacterium. RNAcentral describes it as "bacterial SSU rRNA". It matches the Rfam family "Bacterial small subunit ribosomal RNA", at positions 329 to 792 of the family's 1533-position model. The record is from RNAcentral.
GUCCAGACUCCUACGGGAGGCAGCAGUGAGGAAUAUUGGUCAAUGGGCUUACGCCUGAACCAGCCAAGUCGCGUGAGGGAAGACUGCCCUAUGGGUUGUAAACCUCUUUUGUCAGGGAGCAACGCCGGCUACGUGUAGCCGGACUGAGAGUACCUGAAGAAAAAGCAUCGGCUAACUCCGUGCCAGCAGCCGCGGUAAUACGGAGGAUGCGAGCGUUAUCCAGAUUUAUUGGGUUUAAAGGGUGCGUAGGCGGAAUGCCAAGUCAGCGAUAAAAUCGCGGGGCUCAACCUCGCUCCGCCGUUGAAACUGGCGUUCUUGAGUGGGCGAGAAGUAUGCGGAAUGCGUGGUGUAGCGGUGAAAUGCAUAGAUAUCACGCAGAACUCCGAUUGCGAAGGCAGCAUGCCGGCUCCACACUGGCGCUGAGGCACGAAAGCGUGGGUAUCGAACAGGAUUAGAUACCCCAGUA